This 498-nucleotide unclassified non-coding RNA is filed under the name Homo sapiens (human). Its description in RNAcentral is "novel transcript (ENSG00000290504.1)". The record is from RNAcentral. Lineage: Eukaryota; Metazoa; Chordata; Mammalia; Primates; Hominidae.
AGUUGCACAGCUGCCUGGUAGGUGACUGGAGGCAUUGAGCAGUGUGCUCACUGGUAUUUCGCUGAUGUGGCCCCAACCCCGCCUCCCUCCCCACCCCGCGAUGUCAGAAAAAACACAACAGGGGAAAUUGGCCGCAGCCAAGAAAAAGUUAAAAGCAUAUUGGCAGAGGAAGAGCCCUGGCAUUCCAGCAGGAGCUAACAGGAAAAAGAAAAUCAAUGGCAGUAGCCCUGACACAGCCACUUCUGGUGGUUACCACUCACCUGGGGAUUCAGCAACAGGUAUCUACGGAGAAGGCCGUGCAUCCUCUACUACCCUGGAGGAUCUGGAGAGCCAGUACCAAGAACUAGCAGUGGCCCUGGAUUCAAGCUCCGCAAUAAUCAGUCAACUCACUGAAAACAUCAAUUCACUGCUGAACCCCUGGCCCCAGAGCCCCCAGCAGGGCCAUCUAAGGUAGAGCAGCUACAAGAUGAGACCAACCACCUAAGGAAGGAGCUAGAG